RNA transcript from Cebus imitator (Panamanian white-faced capuchin), 2860 nucleotides. It is a transcript of the gene named breast cancer anti-estrogen resistance protein 1-like, with no coding region annotated. Lineage: Eukaryota; Metazoa; Chordata; Mammalia; Primates; Cebidae. The transcript has a single exon. The record is from RefSeq and is a predicted model, not a curated record.
GGGCAGCUCAGUGUGUGCCGGGGAGGGGGGGUUCCAGGCGCACUGGACACCAUGAACCACCUGAACGUGCUGGUCAAAGUCCUCUAUGACGACGUGGCCGAGUCCCCAGAUGAGCUCUCCUUCCGCAAGGGCGACAUCAUGACAGUGCUGGAGCAGGACACGCAGGGCCUGGAUAGCUGGUGGCUCUGCUCACUGCACGGGCGCCAGGGCAUCGUGCACUGGAACCACCUCAAGAUCUUAGUGGGCAUGUACGAUAAGAAGUCAGCAGGGCCUGGCCCCGGUCCUCCCGCUGCCCGGGCCCAGCCUCAGCACAGCAUCCCACAGGGCCUCCAUGCCCCAGCGCCUCCAACGUCCCAGUACACGCCCAUGCUCCCCACCACCUACCAGCCCCUGCCCGACAGCAUCUACCUGGUGCCCACCCCGAGCAAGACUCAGCAAGGCCUCUACCAAGCCCCUGGUCCCAGCCCUCAGUUCCAGUUGUCCCCAGCCAAGCAGACAUCUACAUUCUCGAAGCAGACGCCCCAUCACCCAUUUUCCCAGACCGACCACAGACCUGUACCAUGUAACCCCAGGGCCUGGAGGCCCUGCCCAGGACAUUUACCAGGUACCACCUUCUACUGGGAUGGGGCAUGACAUCUACCAGGUUCCCUUGUCCAUGGACACAUGCAGCUGGGAGGGCACAAAGCCCCUAGCAAAGUGGUGGUGCCCACCUGCGUGGGACAGGGCUAUGCAUGAGGCCGCAAAGUCAGAGCAGGGCGAGUACGACAUUCCGCGACACCUGCUGGUCCCCCGUGCCCCAGGACAUCUAUGAUGUGCCCCCUUUUGGGGGGCUGCUUCCCAGCCAGUAUGGCCAGGAAGUAGACGACACACCCUCAUGGCUGUCAAGGGUUCCAAUGGCUGAGUCUCGUUGCUGGAGGUGUAUGACAUGCUCCCCAGCAUGAGGGGCCUGCCCCUGUCCAGCCAGCACGCAGUCUACAACAUUCCUCCAUCGGUGAGCAAGGACGUGCCCGACGGCCCGCUGCUGCGUGAGGAAACCUAUGAUGUGCCCCCGGCCUUCGCCAAGGCCAAGCCCUUUGACCCGACCCGCACCCCGCUGGUCCUGGCUGCGCCCCCUCCAGACUCCCAGCCAACCGAGGACUUGUAUGAUGUGCCGCCCCCGGCUCCUGACCUCUACAAUGUGCCCCCUGGCUUGCGGCAGCCUGGCCCAGGCACUUGUACGACAUGCCCCGUGAACAGGGGCUUCCUCCUGAGGUGGCCGAUGGUGGCGAGGCUGACGAUGGUGUGUAUGCAUUGCCUCCCCCAGCUGAGCGUGAGGCCCCCAGCACCGGCAGCACACGCAGCAGCCAGUCGGCAUCCUCCUUGGAGGUGGUGGGGCCGGGCCGAGAACCCCUGGAGCUGGAAGUUGCUGUGGAGGCCCUGGCUCGGCUGCAGCAGGGUGUGAGUGCCACCGUUGCCCACCUCCUGGACCUGGCAGGCAGCGCCGGUGGGACCAGAAGCUGGCGCAGCACCCCUGAGCCACAGGAGCCACUGGUGCAGGAGCUAUGGGCCGCUGUGGCUGCAGUCCAGAGUGCAGUCCACGAGCUGCUGGAGUUCACCCACAGCGUUGCUGGCAACGCUGCCCACACAUUUGACCUCGUUCUGCACGCCAAGCUUAGCCAGCAACUGCAGAAGAUGGAAUAUGUGCACCAGACACUGGUGGCACAUGGUCAGGCCCUUGACACUGGCCGGGGAGGCCCGGGAGCCACCCCUGAAGACCUGGACCAGCUGGUGGCCUGCUCAUCGGCCAUGCCCGAGGACGCCAAGCAGCUGGCCUUCUUCCUGCACGGCAACGCCUCGUUGCUCUUCAGACGGACCAAGGCCCCUGCCCCGGGGCCUGAGGGGGGUGGCACCCUGCAUCCAAACCCCACUGACAAGGCCAGCAGCAUCCAGUCACGGCCCCUGCCCUCACCCCCUAAGUUCACCUCCCAGGACUCGCCAGAUGGGCAGUAUGAGAACAGCGAGGGUGGCUGGAUGGAGGACUAUGACUACGUCCACCUACAGGGGAAGGAAGAGUUUGAGAAGACCCAGAAGGAGCUGCUGGAAAAGGGCAGCAUCACGCGGCAGGGCAAGAGCCAGCUGGAGCUGCAGCAGCUGAAGCAGUUCGAACGCCUGGAACAGGAGGUGUCACGGCCCAUAGACCAUGACCUGGCCAACUGGACGCCGGCCCAGCCCCUCUACCUGGGGUGGACGGGCAGCCUGGGGCCCUCGGACCAGCAACUGCUGCUCUUCUAUCUGGAACAGUGUGAGGCCAACCCAACCACGCUGACCAAUGCCAUGGACACCUUCUUCACUGCUGUGGCCACUAACCAGCCACCCAAGAUCUUCGUGGCGCAUAGCAAGUUCGUCAUCCUCAGCGCCCACAAGGUGGUGUUCAUCCAGGACAUACUGUCUCGGCAGGCCAAGGUGGCCCACUACAGCAACCUGCUGUGCGACCUCCUGCACGGCAUCGUGGCCACCACCAAGGCCUCCGCCCUGCAGUACCCAUCACCCUCUGCUGCCCAUGACAUGGUGGAGAGGGUCAAGGAGCUGCGCCACAGCACCCAGCAGUUCCGCAGUGUCCUGGGCCAGCUGGCAGCCCCCUGAGGGCAGUGACCCCAAGAGGGAGGCAGGGGAGGGGUGUGGCAGCCCCAGCUCCCCAUCCCCCGUCUCAAGAGUAGCUGUGCUGCAGGCUGGGGGACAGGACCCCAGCUCUGCCUCAGGCCUGGCACCCCAGAUGCCCAGAAUCUGUAUAUAUUUAUGGCUGGGCAGGGCGUGGGGCCAUGCCCCUCAGAGGAGCCGAAGCCCAGGGGCUGGUCAGUGGCCUUCCCCAUCAUGCACCGCA